This 2267-nucleotide long non-coding RNA is filed under the name Mytilus galloprovincialis (Mediterranean mussel). Lineage: Eukaryota; Metazoa; Mollusca; Bivalvia; Mytilida; Mytilidae. The record is from RNAcentral.
GAAUUAGUUAAUAAUGCAUUUUACUCUAUUGAUUUCUCCAUUCUGUUGAUCAUUGAAUAAUUAUCAUCUAAUUGAAUUCUCUAGAGAUAUAAUUGCAUUGACAAUGAGCAGUUAGUUUCCUGUCACAUCUUUUUGUUAUGUAAUACUGAAUUUUAAUAAGUGUUUUAUGUAAAUUUGUAAUGUGAUUGGGAAUUAAGAGACAGGCGGAGACAGGAGUGAAUUUUAAGUAAUACAGAGAUUGAUGAAUGUUCUUAUUUAGGUCAUUGGUAUGUAAUGUUGGAUAAAGCUGGGAUAAAGACAAAAAUAUGAUGUUCCAGACAUAACAUUUUGGAAAUAAAUUCUUGCAAUUACCUUCUUCUACAAGGCCUGAAGGACCUUUUUAAGAAGUGGAUGAAGGGCUUUUAUAUUUGUUGAAAUUUAGGAUUUACACUUUUGGGGAUUGGAAUUUACACUUAUCUGGACUGGAGAAUGGAUGAUUUCAUUUUUUGGGACUGCAGUAUUCAAUGUUUACUUUAUGAGAUGUCAAGAUUAAUUUAUUUUUAGGGAAUCCAGAUUACAACCACUCCCAUCCCUUCUUUCUAUGUAAAUUGUUAAAUUUGAUAAUAAGAUACAUAUUUCAAGAUUCAGUUAUUAUAUACUAAAAUGAGAACAGGAAUUAAUAGAAAAUAAGACAGACCAAAUCAGACUCUAUUGUAAAAAUAAAUAUACAAAAAAGAUUUUAUAGCACAUGGUCCAGAUAGCAUUACCCAGCAUACACAAAUAUCCAGCAAGUUGAAACUUAUUCAACGUAGCUCAAGCUUAUUGAAGGACCUGUUAGCACAUCCAUUGUAAUAUGUACGUAUGAGAUAUUGUCAUCUGACGACUUUCAUUGUCUGUCAUCUCAGGAUAUUCCUGUAAUCUUUAUCAAAUUUUUUCCUUUGUUAAAUUCUAUCAUCAUAAAAUUAAAAAUGAUAAUUUACAUUCAGGACCAGUUUCAUCAAAAAUAAAACCUCCAGGGAAUUAUGCCCCUUUGAAUUUUAAAUAUAAAAAACAAUAUCAUUCUGAGGGCUCUCACAUGUACACCUUCCUUUGAUAUUAAAGUGUAAAAAAAAUUAUGUCAACGAUAAACAUUUUUUAUAUCUUUGAUUAGUGUGAGAAUCUGUGUGAAUGUAUUAUAUAAUUGAUGUACAUGUUAUGUAAAAGAAGCUACCCUGAAUCAAGUUUGUUGACCUCUUGAAUUUCUAAAUCAAAGAGUUUUAUAUAUCUAACAAAUAAUAUUCUUCUGCCUAUCAUAUACAGUAUAAAUAUUAAUAUUGUAGAAUUUUGUCUUACAUUUUUUGCUAAACAACCCAAUUUUAAGCAAAACUUAAGAAAAUGUCAAAUUAGUAUUUUUUUCAAUCUUGUUAUUUUAAAUGUGUAAAAUGAUAACAAUGAUGUUGUCUAAUAAUAAACUCAUCAUAGAUACCAGGAUUAAAAUUUUAUAGUAACAUUAUCUGAACUGGUGAAAAAACAAACUAUGUGUAGAAGUCUGUCAAUUUUAUAUACAUGUUUGAAGCUUUAUUAGUCUAAACCUGUAUGCAUCUUAUAUGAUUGUCUAAUAUAUGUAUGGUGCCAUACUUUCUUUUUUGUGCAUACAAAUAUCAUCUUCUAUUUGUAAAAGUCAGAGUGUUUGAAUUUAUCAUUUAAAUUUUUUAAGAAGGGACAAACAAAUGAAAUAAAUUAUUGCCAUAUUAGGAAAUCUCCAAAUAUGCAUUAAAUAUCAGAUUGCAAGUCUUAUUAUUGUGAUAGCCACCCAGUGGCAUAAUUCACAUUUUUAAACCAAUGCAAUAAUUUAUGAAUUUACAGUAUUUUUUUCAAUUUGCAAAAGGCUUGGUUCAAAUUUUCUUUAAAAUUGCAAACUAAAUAAAGGAUGUUUCUACCAUAUUUUAAAUGAGUGGGUGCUAUUUCUGCAUCUGUAAAUAAAACGACCCUAUCAUUCCCUGUACUCAGUUACUAUGUGUGUGUGUGUGUGUAUUGUUUAUUGUUAAAAUACAUAAAAAUAAGGAAAAAGGGGGAAGGAAAUUAUGUUGGACAAGGUUUGUGAUAUUUUUUAUUAUUGUAAUGAAUCAAUGAAAUGAAUAGUGUAUAUAAUUUAUAAUUAUUGUUGUAUUGUUAUAUAUUUUAAUCAAAUUUAUAUAAAAAAAAGAUAUAAUUAGAAAAUUGGUAAUGAAUUAAAAUAAAAUGAAACAGACAUAUGUAUGUGUUAUUUCAAUUCUAGUAUUGAGACUUUAUAUCAAGCCAUAUUUAUU